Molecule: ribosomal RNA, 253 nt
Filed under: uncultured bacterium
Lineage: Bacteria
Description: partial 16S ribosomal RNA
Rfam family: Bacterial small subunit ribosomal RNA
Source: RNAcentral
UACGUAGGGGGCAAGCGUUGUCCGGAUUUAUUGGGCGUAAAGAGCGUGUAGGCGGCCAUGCAGGUCCGUUGUGAAAACUCGAGGCUCAACCUCGAGACGCCGAUGGAAACCGCAUGGCUAGAGUCCGGAAGAGGAGAGUGGAAUUCCUGGUGUAGCGGUGAAAUGCGCAGAUAUCAGGAGGAACACCCGUGGCGAAGGCGGCUCUCUGGCCUGUAACUGACGCUGAGGCGCGAAAGCGUGGGGAGCAAACAGG